RNAcentral lists this ribosomal RNA (327 nucleotides) under uncultured eukaryote. Its description in RNAcentral is "partial 18S ribosomal RNA". It matches the Rfam family "Eukaryotic small subunit ribosomal RNA", at positions 1470 to 1796 of the family's 1831-position model. The record is from RNAcentral.
CCCUUAGAUGUUCUGGGCUGCACGCGCGCUACACUGAUGAAUGCAACGAGCUCUACCCUUGACCGAAAGGCCCGGGUAAACUUGUGAAACUUCAUCGUGAUGGGGAUAGAUUAUUGCAAUUAUUAAUCUUCAACGAGGAAUUCCUAGUAAGCGCGAGUCAUCAGCUCGCGUUGAUUACGUCCCUGCCCUUUGUACACACCGCCCGUCGCUCCUACCGAUUGAAUGGUCCGGUGAAAUCUUCGGAUUGCUGACCAAGAUCCAGCAAUGGAGCUUGGUUGCGAGAAGUUGAUUAAACCUUAUUAUUUAGAGGAAGGAGAAGUCGUAACA